RNAcentral lists this unclassified non-coding RNA (343 nucleotides) under uncultured bacterium. RNAcentral's name for it is "contains 16S-23S intergenic spacer region". The stretch from base 1 to 126 matches the Rfam family "5.8S ribosomal RNA", at positions 29 to 154 of the family's 154-position model. The record is from RNAcentral.
CGCAUCGAUGAAGAACGCAGCGAAAUGCGAUAAGUAAUGUGAAUUGCAGAAUUCAGUGAAUCAUCGAAUCUUUGAACGCACAUUGCGCCCGCCAGUAUUCUGGCGGGCAUGCCUGUUCGAGCGUCAUUUCGACCAUCAAGCCCCCGGGCUUGUGUUGGGGACCUGCGGCUGCCCGCAGGCCCUGAAAACCAGUGGCGGGCUCGCUGUCACACCGAGCGUAGUAGCAAUCACCUCGCUCCGGGCGUGCCGCGUGCUCCUGCCGUUAAACCACGCAACGACCAAAGGUUGACCUCGGAUCAGGUAGGAAGACCCGCUGAACUUAAGCAUAUCAAUAAGCGGAGGA